Molecule: ribosomal RNA, 360 nt
Filed under: uncultured Actinomycetes bacterium
Lineage: Bacteria; Bacillati; Actinomycetota; Actinomycetes
Description: bacterial LSU rRNA
Rfam family: Bacterial large subunit ribosomal RNA
Source: RNAcentral
CCGAUAGGCGUAGGCGAUGGAUAACCGGUUGAUAUUCCGGUACCCGCUGUGAAGCGUCAAACAUCGAACCAGGCGAUGCUAAGUCCGUGAAGCCGCCCUUGAUCUCUUCGGAGUGAUGGGGAGUGGUGGAGCCGAUGAUCCAGACCUGUAGUAGGUGAGUGAUGGGGUGACGCAGGAAGGUAGUCCAUCCCGGGCGGUGGUUGUCCCGGGGUAAGGGUGUAGGACGUUGUGUAGGCAAAUCCGCACAACAUGUGUCUGAGACCUGAUGCCGAGCCGAUUGUGGUGAAGUGGAUGAUCCUAUGCUGUCGAGAAAAGCCUCUAGCGAGUUUCAUGGCGGCCCGUACCCCAAACCAACUCAGG